AUUGAACGCUGGCGGCAGGCCUAACACAUGCAAGUCGAGCGAGCGGCGGACGGGUGAGUAAUGUCUGGGAAACUGCCUGAUGGAGGGGGAUAACUACUGGAAACGGUAGCUAAUCCCGCCUACCAUCAGAUUUGCCCAGAUGGCAUUAGCUAGUAGGUGGGGUAACGGCUCACCUAGGCGACGAUCCCUAGCUGGUCGUAGAGGAUGACCAGCCAGACGGGAACUGAGACACGGGCCAGACUCCGACGGGAGGAAGCAGUGGGGAAUAUUGCACAAUGGGCGAAAGCCUGAUGAAGCCAUGCCGCGUGUGUGAAGAAGGCCGUCGGGUUGUAAAGCACUUUCAGCGGGGAGGCGUUACCCGCAGAAGAAGCACCGGCUAACUCCGUGCCAGCAGCCGCGGUAAUUC
Molecule: ribosomal RNA, 406 nt
Filed under: uncultured bacterium
Lineage: Bacteria
Description: partial 16S ribosomal RNA
Rfam family: Bacterial small subunit ribosomal RNA
Source: RNAcentral